Molecule: ribosomal RNA, 498 nt
Filed under: uncultured Glomeromycotina
Lineage: Eukaryota; Fungi; Glomeromycota
Description: partial small subunit ribosomal RNA
Rfam family: Eukaryotic small subunit ribosomal RNA
Source: RNAcentral
CCAAUAGCGUAUAUUAAAGUUGUUGCAGUUAAAAAGCUCGUAGUUGAAUUUCGGGAUCAGUACGUUGGUCAUGCCUUGGUAUGUACUGGUGUAACUGAUUCCUCCCUUCUGACGAACCGUCAUGCCAUUCACUUGGUGUGGCGGGAAAUCAGGACUGUUACUUUGAAAAAAUUAGAGUGUUUAAAGCAGGCUCGCGCUUGAAUACAUUAGCAUGGAAUAAUGAAAUAGGACGUUAAUCCUAUUUUGUUGGUUUCUAGGAUCGACGUAAUGAUUAAGAGGGAUAGUUGGGGGCAUUAGUAUUCAAUUGUCAGAGGUGAAAUUCUUGGAUUUAUUGAAGACUAACUACUGCGAAAGCAUUUGCCAAGGAUGUUUUCAUUAAUCAAGAACGAAAGUUAGGGGAUCGAAGACGAUCAGAUACCGUCGUAGUCUUAACCAUAAACUAUGCCGACUAGGGAUCGGAUGAUGUUAAUUUUUUAAUGACUCAUUCGGCGCCUUACG